UGUGUGUUAGUGGAAGCGUCUGGAAAGGCGCGCGAUACAGGGUGACAGCCCCGUACACAAAAAUGCACAUGCUGUGAGCUCGAUGAGUAGGGCGGGACACGUGGUAUCCUGUCUGAAUAUGGGGGGACCAUCCUCCAAGGCUAAAUACUCCUGACUGACCGAUAGUGAACCAGUACCGUGAGGGAAAGGCGAAAAGAACCCCGGCGAGGGGAGUGAAAAAGAACCUGAAACCGUGUACGUACAAGCAGUGGGAGCACGCUUAGGCGUGUGACUGCGUACCUUUUGUAUAAUGGGUCAGCGACUUAUAUUCUGUAGCAAGGUUAACCGAAUAGGGGAGCCGAAGGGAAACCGAGUCUUAACUGGGCGUUAAGUUGCAGGGUAUAGACCCGAAACCCGGUGAUCUAGCCAUGGGCAGGUUGAAGGUUGGGUAACACUAACUGGAGGACCGAACCGACUAAUGUUGAAAAAUUAGCGGAUGACUUGUGGCUGGGGGUGAAAGGCCAAUCAAACCGGGAGAUAGCUGGUUCUCCCCGAAAGCUAUUUAGGUAGCGCCUCGUGAAUUCAUCUCCGGGGGUAGAGCACUGUUUCGGCAAGGGGGUCAUCCCGACUUACCAACCCGAUGCAAACUGCGAAUACCGGAGAAUGUUAUCACGGGAGACACACGGCGGGUGCUAACGUCCGUCGUGAAGAGGGAAACAACCCAGACCGCCAGCUAAGGUCCCAAAGUCAUGGUUAAGUGGGAAACGAUGUGGGAAGGCCCAGACAGCCAGGAUGUUGGCUUAGAAGCAGCCAUCAUUUAAAGAAAGCGUAAUAGCUCACUGGUCGAGUCGGCCUGCGCGGAAGAUGUAACGGGGCUAAACCAUGCACCGAAGCUGCGGCAGCGACGCUGAUGCGUUGUUGGGUAGGGGAGCGUUCUGUAAGCCUGUGAAGGUGUGCUGUGAGGCAUGCUGGAGGUAUCAGAAGUGCGAAUGCUGACAUAAGUAACGAUAAAGCGGGUGAAAAGCCCGCUCGCCGGAAGACCAAGGGUUCCUGUCCAACGUUAAUCGGGGCAGGGUGAGUCGACCCCUAAGGCGAGGCCGAAAGGCGUAGUCGAUGGGAAACAGGUUAAUAUUCCUGUACUUGGUGUUACUGCGAAGGGGGGACGGAGAAGGCUAUGUUGGCCGGGCGACGGUUGUCCCGGUUUAAGCGUGUAGGCUGGU
This 1199-nucleotide ribosomal RNA is filed under the name Escherichia coli. RNAcentral's name for it is "partial 23S ribosomal RNA". It matches the Rfam family "Bacterial large subunit ribosomal RNA", at positions 323 to 1529 of the family's 2925-position model. Lineage: Bacteria; Pseudomonadati; Pseudomonadota; Gammaproteobacteria; Enterobacterales; Enterobacteriaceae. The record is from RNAcentral.